CCCCUGGCUCCUGGAGAAGACAUGAAGAAAUUAUCAUAGAGAUUGAGGGGUGCCCUCGAAGGAAAACCUCUUCUCUAAUUAAUAUUUCUUUUUAGGCUUAGCAACCAAUGUAAAGUAGAAAUAGAUCUUCUAGUUUCUACUAGAUUGAGAGAGAUAGAGUGGAGGUGUAGAUUGGAGGAAGCCCGGCCUGUUGGUGUCUACUCCAAGCUUGUACCUGCGGGAUCAAGUUCUCCUAACCCGAAGCUUGCUCCUAGGAUUCUUCAGUAUUUCGAC
Molecule: long non-coding RNA, 273 nt
Filed under: Sorghum bicolor (sorghum)
Lineage: Eukaryota; Viridiplantae; Streptophyta; Magnoliopsida; Poales; Poaceae
Description: long non-coding RNA (SBIC_LNC015947)
Source: RNAcentral